GUGCCUGUAGCUCAGCGGAUAGAGCGUCUGCCUACGGAGCAGAAAGUCGGGGGUUCGAAUCUCUCCAGGCACA
This 73-nucleotide transfer RNA is filed under the name Anaerolineae bacterium. RNAcentral describes it as "tRNA-Arg". It matches the Rfam family "tRNA". Rfam says of the family: Transfer RNA (tRNA) molecules are approximately 80 nucleotides in length. Their secondary structure includes four short double-helical elements and three loops (D, anti-codon, and T loops). The record is from RNAcentral. RNAcentral also lists the same sequence under 3 other names. Lineage: Bacteria; Bacillati; Chloroflexota; Anaerolineae.